UCUGAAUGGGAAGAUAAAAAAAGAUCGCAACCGCGCGAGGUAUUAGAGGUUCGGUGAAAGGCAAAAUGACAGCAUCUGUGGACUAUGCUAGAGCGUCCAAGAUAGCAAUAAAUUCCUCCCACAAGGGGCAAACCUCUAAGUCCCCAAAGCGAAACGCAUGGAUAUUUGCAUUCUAGAAACUUAAGGCGUCAUAAACGAAGACAUGAUCCACUCUUACAUCACGAAGAAAUCAGAGACAUGCCAGUGGGGUCCUAGUGUCAGCUAGACAUUUUUUGAGAUGCCCUUCAGUAAUAGUUGGAUACAGCGGGGGAAGCUUCACUCGUGAUUUUCUCGCUUUGCUGGAUUAUUGACUUUGUUCUUGUAGAUGCAAUACAUGCAUUUACUUGAUUUGUUUCCUUUACUUUUUUGAUAGUUUGUUUUUUCCCAUAUCUUGGCCCUCCAUUGCCAUUUACUUAACCAACUCUAUAAAUUAGCUGCCUACAAAUUGAAACUCAC
This 495-nucleotide long non-coding RNA is filed under the name Ricinus communis (castor bean). RNAcentral's name for it is "long non-coding RNA (RCOM_LNC000315)". The record is from RNAcentral. Lineage: Eukaryota; Viridiplantae; Streptophyta; Magnoliopsida; Malpighiales; Euphorbiaceae.